UACGUAGGGGGCAAGCGUUAUCCGGAUUUACUGGGUGUAAAGGGAGCGUAGACGGUUAUGCAAGUCAUAAGUGAAAGCCCAAAGCUCAACUUCGGGACUGCUUUUGAAACUGUGUAACUAGAGUGCAGGAGGGGUAGGCGGAAUUCCUAGUGUAGCGGUGAAAUGCGUAGAUAUUAGGAGGAACACCGGCGGCGAAGGCGGCUUACUGGACUGUAACUGACGUUGAGGCUCGAAAGCGUGGGGAGCAAACAGG
Molecule: ribosomal RNA, 253 nt
Filed under: uncultured bacterium
Lineage: Bacteria
Description: partial 16S ribosomal RNA
Rfam family: Bacterial small subunit ribosomal RNA
Source: RNAcentral